Molecule: ribosomal RNA, 425 nt
Filed under: uncultured bacterium
Lineage: Bacteria
Description: partial 16S ribosomal RNA
Rfam family: Bacterial small subunit ribosomal RNA
Source: RNAcentral
GUGGGGAAUCUUGCGCAAUGGGCGAAAGCCUGACGCAGCCAUGCCGCGUGAAUGAUGAAGGUCUUAGGAUUGUAAAAUUCUUUCACCGGGGACGAUAAUGACGGUACCCGGAGAAGAAGCUCCGGCUAACUUCGUGCCAGCAGCCGCAGUAAUACGAAGGGGGCUAGCGUUGCUCGGAAUUACUGGGCGUAAAGGGCGCGUAGGCGGACAGCUUAGUCAGAGGUGAAAGCCCAGGGCUCAACCUUGGAAUUGCCUUUGAUACUGGCUGUCUUGAGUUUGGGAGAGGUGAGUGGAACUCCGAGUGUAGAGGUGAAAUUCGUAGAUAUUCGGAAGAACACCAGUGGCGAAGGCGACUCACUGGCCCAAUACUGACGCUGAGGCGCGAAAGCGUGGGGAGCAAACAGGAUUAGAUACCCCGGUAGUCC